RNAcentral lists this ribosomal RNA (379 nucleotides) under uncultured cyanobacterium. RNAcentral's name for it is "bacterial SSU rRNA". It matches the Rfam family "Bacterial small subunit ribosomal RNA", at positions 376 to 770 of the family's 1533-position model. The record is from RNAcentral. Lineage: Bacteria; Bacillati; Cyanobacteriota.
CGAAAGCCUGACGGAGCAACGCCGCGUGAGGGAUGAAGGCCUCUGGGCUGUAAACCUCUUUUCUCAAGGAAGAAGAUCUGACGGUACUUGAGGAAUAAGCCACGGCUAAUUCCGUGCCAGCAGCCGCGGUAAUACGGGAGUGGCAAGCGUUAUCCGGAAUUAUUGGGCGUAAAGCGUCCGCAGGCGGUUCUGUAAGUCUGCCGUUAAAGCGUGGAGCUUAACUCCAUUUCGGCGGUGGAAACUGCGGGACUUGAGUGUGGUAGGGGCAGAGGGAAUUCCCGGUGUAGCGGUGAAAUGCGUAGAUAUCGGGAAGAACACCAGUGGCGAAGGCGCUCUGCUGGGCCAUAACUGACGCUCAUGGACGAAAGCCAGGGGAGCG